CCUACGGGUGGCUGCAGUAGGGAAUCUUCCGCAAUGGACGAAAGUCUGACGGAGCAACGCCGCGUGAGCGAAGAAGGUCUUCGGAUCGUAAAGCUCUGUUGUUAGGGAAGAACAAGUACGGGAGGAAAUGACCGUACCUUGACGGUACCUAACGAGGAAGCCACGGCUAACUACGUGCCCGCACCCGCGGUAAUCCGUGGGUGGCACGCGCUGUCCGGCACCCUUGGGCGCAAAGCGCGCGCAGGCGGUCGUUUAAGUCUGAUGUGAAAUCUUGCGGCCCAACCGCAAGCGGUCCUUGGAAACUGGGAGGCUUGAGUGCAGAAGAGGAAAGCGGAAUUCCACGUGUAGCGGUGAAAUGCGUAGAGAUGUGGAGGAACACCAGUGGCGAAGGCGGCUUUCUGGUCUGUAACUGACGCUGAGGCGCGAAAGCGUGGGGAGCAAACAGGAUUAGAUACCCCAGUAGUC
Molecule: ribosomal RNA, 465 nt
Filed under: uncultured bacterium
Lineage: Bacteria
Description: bacterial SSU rRNA
Rfam family: Bacterial small subunit ribosomal RNA
Source: RNAcentral